Gopherus flavomarginatus (Mexican gopher tortoise) is the source of this 2447-nucleotide long non-coding RNA. RefSeq lists it as uncharacterized. The record is from RefSeq and is a predicted model, not a curated record. The transcript has 4 exons. NCBI's taxonomy places the organism in Eukaryota, Metazoa, Chordata, Testudines, Testudinidae.
CCUCCCCCCGGCCCAGUUCCUCUGUUUAGAUUCCCACUGCCAACCCGUAAUCCCUGUGUGGCUGGCACUGUUUGGGUCACAGGCAGUGCCUGGUGGGGGGCGGGGGGGGGGGUCAACUACCAACCAGCCCUGUCCAGGGGAGCUGCACCCAAGGGCCUUCGUCUGCUGGCAUCAGGGCGAGGGAGAGAAUCUCCCCCUCUUCCUUGCCAUUCACCUAGGAUCUGCCGGCCCUGUCCCAGGGCUCCCGUCUCUGCCUGGGAGCCAGGACUCCCUGGGUUGUCUCCCCAGCUCUGGGAGGAAAAAGGGGUUUAGUGAGUUGAAGCAGGAGGGUGGGGAGCUGCCGAGGCCUGUGCCUCUCCCCUUGUCGGCGCAGGCUUUGGCAGGCUGGUGCAUGGGCAGGGACCGAUCUUCAGCUUCCACAGGGUUUGGGGGGGCUUCAGCUCCACCGGUCAUGCCCCCCAUCCUUUCCCUCCAAUGGCAGGUCCAUGCCAUCUGCCGCCCUGGAGCUUGGGGGACCUGUCCCGGUCCCAGCGUGUUAAACUCCAGGCAGAGAGGCUGCCUACCUCUGCACACGGCCGCCCCUGCAGGGACAUGUCUGGGGUGGGGGCUGAAGACAAUCCCCUGCCUCCCCAGCAGGAGGUGCAGCGUGGUGCUUGGCGGGCUGUCCCCUGUGUGAUGGUCUGCGUGGCUGUUCCCCAGCUGCCCCACCCCAGAGGUGGCUGCCUCCCAGCACCAGCGAGCGAGUGCACUGGAGGAGAGAGGAAGGCAGCCGUGGUGACUCUUUUGCUGGGUGGCUGCUGCAGCUGUGAAUCAGGCUGUCCUCAAUCCCAGGCUGUCUUUGCACCUCUGAGCUCCCACUCCUGGUGGGGGGGGAGGCGGCGCCAGGCUCCCUCCCACCCUGGCUGGGUUAUUUUAUCUCUGCCGGGCGCCUCCCAAUCCAGCUGGCACCUUCCAAGCCUUACAGGGAGAUCAGACCCUUGAGACAAUGGUAUUGACCUUAUGGCUUCCCUGGGCCAGGGGAGAACCCAGGAGUCCUGGCUCCCAGCCCCCCCAGCUCUAACCACUAGCCCCCACUCUCCUCCCAGCACCAUGGCCCUGUCCUGCUGGAGCUGUGGGUUUGUGCCUCUGCUUCUUUUCCCCAGCUUGGGUGUUAAUCCACUUGCCAGUGGCGGGGAAUCCAGCUGCUGCCUGCAGAGAAGGGGGAGGGGACAGUGGGGAGGGCUGGCAGGAGCAGUGGGAGGGCCUAGGGUGACCCCGCUGGCUCAGCACUGGGCCGGCCCCCUAGGAGGAACAACACGGCUGCACCAGCAUGGAGGGGGGCCAGCAAGGCAGUGAGGACUGGUAGCUAGGGGCUGAGCGCCGGGACAGAGGGGUUAUGGGGUGGCUUAGUUCCUGCCCAGCGCUGACAUGCAGCCACCUCUGGGGCAGGUCAGCUGGGAAACAGCCAUACAUAACACAGCCCCGGGAGAGAGGAAAUGGAGCCCCCUCUGGGGCGGGGCGGGGCAGGGCGGCCAGGCCCCAUGGCACAGGGUGGCUUGAUCUCUCUCCCUGCAGUGUGGCUGGAAUCUCGGUUACAGCCCUGGGGGUGCAGCCCUGCUUCCUUGCCAUAGAGCCGAGAGGGAUUGGGGGGGGGGGUUGGCAGGCCGCCCCCUCCCCAGCAAGGGGUGGGGCGGUGUCAUGGGGGAUGGCUGACAACAAUGGGGAUAAUUAGCUCCUGCUCCCGGUAUGUCAAGAAUGCCUCCCCCGCAUGCCCAGUGCUGCCUGCCACCCUUCACCCCACCCCCGACACACAACCCCCCCGCCAGGUUUGGGGGGGGCAGCCCUCUGCAGAGGUAGAGCUGGCCUGUGGUGAGGGGCUCACUGUGAGGGCGCUCUCCCUGGCACUCACAGCUGGGGAGCUGCUGUGCUGCGGGGAGUGGGGCAGGGGGCGCUCUCCCCUGGCGCUCUGAGCUAGGCGCUGGGGGGCUGCAGUGCUGCAGGGAGUGGGGCAGGGAGCGCUCUCCCUUGGCACUCACAGCUGGGCGCUGGGGGGCUGCAGUGCUGUAAGGAGUAGGUCGGGGGGGCUCUCUCCCCUGGCACUCACAGCUGAGGGGCUGCGGCGCUACAGGGAGUGGGGCAGGGGGCGCUCUCCCCUGGCACUGGGCGCUGGGGGGCUGCGGCGCUGCAGGGAGUGGGGCAGGGGGCGCUCUCCCCUGGCACUCACAGCUGGGCGCUGGGGGGCUGCGGCGCUGCAGGGAGUGGGGCAGGGGGCGCUCUCCCCUGGCACUCACAGCUGGGCGCUGGGGGGCUGCGGCGCUGCAGGGAGUGGGGCAGGGGGCGCUCUCCCCUGGCACUCACAGCUGGGCGCUGGGGGGCUGCGGCGCUGCAGGGAGUGGGGCAGGGGGCGCUCUCCCCUGGCACUCACAGCUUGGUGCUGGGGGGCUGCGGCGCUGCAGGGAGUGGGGCAG